Molecule: unclassified non-coding RNA, 336 nt
Filed under: soil metagenome
Description: partial contains 5.8S ribosomal RNA, internal transcribed spacer 2, and large subunit ribosomal RNA
Rfam family: 5.8S ribosomal RNA (bases 1-120)
Source: RNAcentral
GAUGAAGAACGCAGCGAAAUGCGAUAAGUAGUGUGAAUUGCAGAAUUCAGUGAAUCAUCGAAUCUUUGAACGCACAUUGCGCCCCUUGGUAUUCCAUGGGGCAUGCCUGUUCGAGCGUCAUUUGUACCUUCAAGCUUUGCUUGGUGUUGGGUGUUUGUCUCGCCUUUGCGUGUAGACUCGCCUUAAAAUAAUUGGCAGCCGGCGUAUUGAUUUCGGAGCGCAGUACAUCUCGCGCUUUGCACUCAUAACGACAGCGUCCAAAAGUACAUUUUACACUCUUGACCUCGGAUCAGGUAGGGAUACCCGCUGAACUUAAGCAUAUCAAUAAGAGGAGGA